This 467-nucleotide ribosomal RNA is filed under the name uncultured bacterium. RNAcentral describes it as "partial 16S ribosomal RNA". It matches the Rfam family "Bacterial small subunit ribosomal RNA", at positions 28 to 507 of the family's 1533-position model. The record is from RNAcentral.
GAUGAACGCUGGCGGCGUGCUUAACACAUGCAAGUCGAACGGAAAGGCCUCUUUCGGGUGGUAUUCGAGUGGCGAACGGGUGAGUAACACGUGAGUACCUUGCCCUUGACUUUUGGAUAACUUAAGGAAUCUGGGGCUAAAACCUAAUAGCGGCUCCUGCUGCAGGGUGGGGGCUGGAAAGUUUCGGCGGUUGGGGAUGGAAUGGCGGCGUAUCAGCUUGUUGGUGGGGUAGUGGCUUACCACGGCGUUGACGGGUAGCCGGCCUGUGAGGGUGACCGGCCGUAUUGGGACUUAGGUACGGCCCAGACUCCUACGGGAGGCAGCAGGGGGGAAUAUUGCACAAUGGGUGGAAGCCUGAUGCAGCAAGGCCGUGUGCGGGAUGACGGCCUUCUGGUUGUAAACCGCUUUCGCUCAUGACGAAGCUUUGUGUGACGGUAGUGGGUAAAGAAGCACCGGCUAACUACGUG